RNAcentral lists this ribosomal RNA (551 nucleotides) under uncultured Actinomycetes bacterium. Its description in RNAcentral is "bacterial SSU rRNA". It matches the Rfam family "Bacterial small subunit ribosomal RNA", at positions 63 to 611 of the family's 1533-position model. Lineage: Bacteria; Bacillati; Actinomycetota; Actinomycetes. The record is from RNAcentral.
CGAACGCUGAAGGCCCAGCUUGCUGGGUUGGAUGAGUGGCGAACGGGUGAGUAACACGUGAGUAACCUGCCCCCUUCUUUGGGAUAACGGUCGGAAACGGCUGCUAAUACCGGGUAUUCACUGUCCUUCGCAUGGGGGGUGGUGGAAAGGUUUUUUCUGGUGGGGGAUGGGCUCGCGGCCUAUCAGCUUGUUGGUGGGGUGAUGGCUUACCAAGGCUUUGACGGGUAACCGGCCUGAGAGGGUGACCGGUCACAUUGGGACUGAGAUACGGCCCAGACUCCUACGGGAGGCAGCAGUGGGGAAUAUUGCACAAUGGGCGAAAGCCUGAUGCAGCGACGCCGCGUGAGGGAUGACGGCCUUCGGGUUGUAAACCUCUUUCGCUCAUGGUCAAGCCGCAACAGUGGUUGUGGUGAGGGUAGUGGGUAAAGAAGCACCGGCUAACUACGUGCCAGCAGCCGCGGUAAUACGUAGGGUGCGAGCGUUGUCCGGAAUUAUUGGGCGUAAAGGGCUUGUAGGCGGUUUGUCGCGUCUGCCGUGAAUCCUCUGGCUUA